This 253-nucleotide ribosomal RNA is filed under the name uncultured bacterium. RNAcentral's name for it is "partial 16S ribosomal RNA". It matches the Rfam family "Bacterial small subunit ribosomal RNA", at positions 524 to 776 of the family's 1533-position model. The record is from RNAcentral.
UACGUAGGGGGCAAGCGUUAUCCAGAUUUACUGGGUGUAAAGGGAGCGUAGACGGCAAUACAAGUCGGAAGUGAAAUACCCGGGCUCAACCUGGGAACUGCUUUGGAAACUGUAUGGCUGGAGUGCUGGAGAGGUAAGCGGAAUUCCUAGUGUAGCGGUGAAAUGCGUAGAUAUUAGGAGGAACACCAGUGGCGAAGGCGGCUUACUGGACAGUAACUGACGUUGAGGCUCGAAAGCGUGGGGAGCAAACAGG